This 301-nucleotide ribosomal RNA is filed under the name uncultured bacterium. RNAcentral describes it as "partial 16S ribosomal RNA". It matches the Rfam family "Archaeal small subunit ribosomal RNA", at positions 459 to 759 of the family's 1478-position model. The record is from RNAcentral.
CAGUAGCCGCGGUAAAACCAUCAGCCCAAGUGGUGGUCGCGUUUAUUGGGCCUAAAGCGCUCGUAGCCUAACCGGUAAGUUCCCCGUGAAAUCGGGUCGCCCAACGAUUCGGCUUGCGGGGAAUACUGUCGGUCUUGGGGCCGGGAGACGCCGAGGGUACUCCGGGGGUAGCGGUGAAAUGCUGUAAUCCUCGGGGGACUACCAGUGGCGAAGGCGCUCGGCGAUAACGGGCCUGACGGUGAGGGGCGAAAGCUGGGGGCGCGAACGGGAUUAGAGACCCCCGUAGUCCCUGUCUCUUAUU